GGGGAAUUUUCAGCAUAGAGAGAGAGAACAUUGUGUCCUGGCUCUGACACGGUUCUUGUAGCAGGACACUGGGCCUCAACUCUAUCCAAUCUCUCUCAGACCAUGUAUGGCAGCUAGGAUUCGAAGCUGAGUGUCAUCCUGCUGACCCUGUUCUCCCAAAGCACCAGGAAGUUCAACUGCUGUCCUACACAGAUUCUCAACAUCCUCCAAUAAAUGUACCAUGCCAAAGACAACGGGAAUUCAUGAUGGCCAUCACGGGGGCCUCAGCAAAAACAACACAACUGUGAGGCCAUUUCUUGCACUUUGGUGGCUUCUGUUACCUGAUGAUGCAAGUCUUGGCAGGCAGAAAUGGCAGCAGUGAGAAUCCCCACUAUGAUACUGUGUGUGUGUGUGUGUGUGUGUGUGUGUGUGUGUGUGUGUGGCAUCCGGUGUUGAUUUAACGAUUGGCAAUCACAGUGAGAGAGGAAACUCUGAUUGUGAUGAACUUGCCUCCUGCUGUUCUCUCUUGUUGAGUUUCCUUUCCAGCAUGACUCGUGUAAUUAUCCUCCAAUUUGUUAUCCAGAUUUUUUUUCUGGACACAACUACUCAAACAUCCAGACAAAUCACUUGGAAUCAAAGAGUGAUUAUGGUAGAAAAGGGUCAAUGAACUUGUUCCAAGCAUCAAUGUGACUUCCACUCUUGACACAGGAAUGUGGACAGGAGUAAUCUCUCCACCACACAACAAUGUAGCACUGUUUAAAUCAUCUGUUAGUGAUGUCCUGUCCUUAUCUUGUAUUAAAACUGAUGU
Thunnus maccoyii (southern bluefin tuna) is the source of this 787-nucleotide long non-coding RNA. RefSeq lists it as uncharacterized. The transcript is spliced from 3 exons. The record is from RefSeq and is a predicted model, not a curated record. NCBI's taxonomy places the organism in Eukaryota, Metazoa, Chordata, Actinopteri, Scombriformes, Scombridae.